Molecule: ribosomal RNA, 195 nt
Filed under: Bacillus sp. UNCCL13
Lineage: Bacteria; Bacillati; Bacillota; Bacilli; Caryophanales; Bacillaceae
Description: 16S rRNA. Bacterial SSU
Rfam family: Bacterial small subunit ribosomal RNA
Source: RNAcentral
CUUUAUCGGAGAGUUUGAUCCUGGCUCAGGACGAACGCUGGCGGCGUGCCUAAUACAUGCAAGUCGAGCGGAUUGAUGGGAGCUUGCUCCCUGAUAUCAGCGGCGGACGGGUGAGUAACACGUGGGCAACCUGCCUGUAAGACUGGGAUAACUUCGGGAAACCGGAGCUAAUACCGGAUAAUCCUUUUCCUCUCA